AAAAAAAGACAAUACCAAACAUUGGCAAGUAUAUGGAGCCACUGGAACUAUCAGAGAUUGCUCAUGAGUGUGUAAAUUGGUACAAAUGUGGAAAACUGGCAAGAAGUACUAAGUCUAAAUGUAUGCAUGCCUUAUGACCUAGCAAUUCCAUUCCUGGGCAUAUUUACAGGAAGGAGAAAUAUGUACAUAUGUGUAUCAAAAGACAUCUACAACAAUGAUCAUACAAAAUUCUUCACAACAUAGGAAAACUGGAAACAACUGAAACAUCCAUUGGCAGUAAAAUGAAUAAUAAAUUAUAAUAUAUUCCAACAAUGGAAUAAUAAACAGCUGUGAAAAAUAAGGGAAAAUAUUACACAUGGCAAUAUAGUCAAUAUAGAUUGUCAUAAAUCAGGUGAUUGUACACAUACAUAUGAUCUGUUUUAUUGCUGUUUUCCAUUUGUGUGCCAAUUACAUGAUUUUAAUUAAUAAUGUUAUAAGUCUUGAUAUUUCUUGGUAUAAGUUAUCUAACUUGUUUUUCAAAUUCAUCUAAACUCAGGGUUGAGUUUAGGAAGCCAGAUACGAAAAAGUGCAUGCUGUAUGAUUUCACGUUGUAUCGCAUGAUCUGGGUUGUGGUUACAUGGAAGUGAUGGUUUGUUCAUGAAACUGGACGUUUGAGUGUUGUAUACUUUAUUUGAUCCUUGUACUUGUGAUUCAAAAUUUCAUAACAACUUCCUGCUACCCUUUAUGAUUUGAUGUGUGUAAGUAGAGUUUGCAGAUAAUGUAGUUCUAUACUGAGCUAUGAAUUUAUUUUUAUAAUGUACAUUGUUUUGUAUUAAGAAUCAUUCCAAGUGACAGAAAAUUUGCGAAAUCAAAGUAUUAACAUUUAUAAAACCCUUCUGUUGUUUAUACUAUUCUGGCCAUGACUUUCAAAAGCACUGAUUUUUAGGGGGACAGAGUAUCAAAGAAAGACCUUGGCUAAAGAAAGCUCUUUCAAGUGGGAAGGGCAUCAUAGAGAAUGGAUCUUGAGGAGUGAAAGUCAGGAGAUGCCUUCCUACUCAGCUGCAUAGCUCAUGAAGCUGACAACCCGCAGAGUUAUAAAUGUUGUGGGUAGAUUGCCUUCACACUGGCCUUGCAAUCAUCUGCUACACUGAGCACCAUUACAUUUCAUGGUGGACAUUCUAAGGUGUGACACUGUGUACUCUGCUGUCAGGAGGCUUUCCGGGGAGAAGGGUCUUGCCAAGGAUUUCUUGCACUCCCAGCCACCUGACUGGUUUAGUCUGAAAUUUCAGUAUUCCAGGGUAGUAUGAGAAAGGCCCUAUCUGGUAACAAAGAAAGCAUAA
This 1319-nucleotide long non-coding RNA is filed under the name Homo sapiens (human). Its description in RNAcentral is "HSALNT0082166". The record is from RNAcentral. Lineage: Eukaryota; Metazoa; Chordata; Mammalia; Primates; Hominidae.